This 756-nucleotide ribosomal RNA is filed under the name uncultured Methanosarcina sp. RNAcentral describes it as "bacterial SSU rRNA". It matches the Rfam family "Archaeal small subunit ribosomal RNA", at positions 102 to 859 of the family's 1478-position model. The record is from RNAcentral. Lineage: Archaea; Methanobacteriati; Methanobacteriota; Methanomicrobia; Methanosarcinales; Methanosarcinaceae.
GGACAACCUGCCCUUAGGACGGGGAUAAACCCGGGAAACUGGGUAUAAUACCCGAUAGGUCUCGAUUGCUGGAAUGCAUCGAGAUUUAAAGCUCCGGCGCCUAAGGAUGGGUCUGCGGCCUAUCAGGUAGUAGUGGGUGUAGCGUACCUACUAGCCUACGACGGGUACGGGUUGUGAGAGCAAGAGCCCGGAGAUGGAUUCUGAGACAUGAAUCCAGGCCCUACGGGGCGCAGCAGGCGCGAAAACUUUACAAUGCGGGAAACCGUGAUAAGGGGACACCGAGUGCCAGCAUCAUAUGCUGGCUGUCCGGGUGUGUAAAAUACACUCGUUAGCAAGGGCCGGGCAAGACCGGUGCCAGCCGCCGCGGUAACACCGGCGGCCCGAGUGGUGAUCGUGAUUAUUGGGUCUAAAGGGUCCGUAGCCGGUUUGGUCAGUCCUCCGGGAAAUCUGAUAGCUCAACUAUUAGGCUUUCGGGGGAUACUGCCAGACUUGGAACCGGGAGAGGUAAGAGGUACUACAGGGGUAGGAGUGAAAUCUUGUAAUCCCUGUGGGACCACCUGUGGCGAAGGCGUCUUACCAGAACGGGUUCGACGGUGAGGGACGAAAGCUGGGGGCACGAACCGGAUUAGAUACCCGGGUAGUCCCAGCCGUAAACGAUGUUCGCUAGGUGUCAGGCAUGGCGCGACCGUGUCUGGUGCCGCAGGGAAGCCGUGAAGCGAGCCACCUGGGAAGUACGGCCGCAAGGCUGAAACUUAA